GGAUAUAAAUGUUACAAACGAACACCGCUGAAAUCAUAACAGAUAACAGCUGUUUUCCUUCAAAUAUUUUUAGGUUAUCAGUUUCAAAUUUCUCAUGGAAUUUGAACUAAAUAACAUCGAUACUGAUACGAGAGACCAUAACAUCAUGGAAAAGGAAGACGAAUUUUUGCAUACAUAUUUCAAUCAAGUUUCUCAAUUGUGUUACGAAAAAGCGAAAGAACAUGUUGAAAAAGCAAAAGAGCCCAAAGGAGUCGCUACGCCUUGGAAUACAUUUUUGCACCAUUUGCAGCAACUCAUCAUAGCCGAAAAGAGCUACAUCGAGAUAGGAUUUUUACAAAACAAGCAUAAAAGUUUUCUCAGAAAAGAUAACUCGUUGCGAUCAGUGUAUGAAACUAUGAGGAACGACUUCAAGAAACUAGAAGAUAAUUCUAAGCCAGCUGUUGGGGAUAAUAGAGUCCACAGAGGAUGUAUCAAUAUAAUCCAAUUCCUCAAUGCAAGGAUAAGUCUAAUUGAAAUAUAUGAGAAAAUCUACGGCAUGACUUCCAAUAAACAUUUCCAGUAUAACGAAAUAGCAAGUCACAUCGAAUCGGUCAUUCAGACUCAUUUGGAAGGUUUCUCAGACAUCAGCAUGACUCCGAUUAAAGCUGUUUUUUGCUUGGAGGGUGAAAUAUUGGAAAAGCUCUUCAAAGCUUUGAGUGAACUCCAAAAAUUGCAAUUCUUAUCGUCACUCACUUUGAUACAUGCUGCACACACAAGACUCAUUGCGUGGGAGAACAAAAUUCAACCGCGGGAGGUGUGGAAAUUGGGGAUAUUCAAAAAUAAUCCAGUGCCAGCUCUUUUUCAAUGGAUACAAAAACUGAAAAGUGCAGUGCUGAGCAAAUUCAGCUUGUACUUCCACGACAUCUUAGCAAAACAAACUACCUCGAGUGACAUGAAGUACUUGUGCUCAAAAUUACAACAAGACUAUUAUCAAAAGAUGAUAGCGUUUCUCAAAAAAUAUGACGCGUCCUCAGUGAUCCUCAUGUCCGAUAACGAAGUCAAUUGUGAUAUAACCGAUUAUGAAAGUUUUCCAAUAAUUGUAUCCUAUCCUCCGGUCAUUUUAAAUUCUCAUUGCAGCGCAACAUUCCUCGGCACAACAUGGUUCUGAAAAUGGUAUAUGAAACCUCCCAUGAAUUAACAAGCGGAGAUAAAAUAAUCUAUAAGUUCAGUUCGCAGGAACAAUCUACGUGCAUUCUGACGACAGUUGAGCCUAACAUAUACCUAGUCAUAGUUUUCGAGAGUAAGAAGACAGA
RNAcentral lists this unclassified non-coding RNA (1292 nucleotides) under Leptinotarsa decemlineata (Colorado potato beetle). RNAcentral describes it as "kICSTOR complex protein C12orf66 homolog, transcript variant X1". Lineage: Eukaryota; Metazoa; Arthropoda; Insecta; Coleoptera; Chrysomelidae. The record is from RNAcentral.